AUUGAACGCUGGCGGCAGGCCUAACACAUGCAAGUCGAGCGGUAGAGAGAAGCUUGCUUCUCUUGAGAGCGGCGGACGGGUGAGUAAUGCCUAGGAAUCUGCCUGGUAGUGGGGGAUAACGUUCGGAAACGAACGCUAAUACCGCAUACGUCCUACGGGAGAAAGCAGGGGACCUUCGGGCCUUGCGCUAUCAGAUGAGCCUAGGUCGGAUUAGCUAGUUGGUGAGGUAAUGGCUCACCAAGGCGACGAUCCGUAACUGGUCUGAGAGGAUGAUCAGUCACACUGGAACUGAGACACGGUCCAGACUCCUACGGGAGGCAGCAGUGGGGAA
RNAcentral lists this ribosomal RNA (331 nucleotides) under uncultured bacterium. RNAcentral's name for it is "bacterial SSU rRNA". It matches the Rfam family "Bacterial small subunit ribosomal RNA", at positions 30 to 361 of the family's 1533-position model. The record is from RNAcentral.